Molecule: long non-coding RNA, 554 nt
Filed under: Homo sapiens (human)
Lineage: Eukaryota; Metazoa; Chordata; Mammalia; Primates; Hominidae
Description: non-protein coding lnc-VAV3-10:2
Source: RNAcentral
UUGGCCCAAAUCAGUAAACUCAGCCUGAUCCAAUUCUAUGUUCCUUUCACCAUAAUCCCAUGCCUCUAAUAUCCUUUCUCAUACCUGUUCUCCAGAUUGGUGUUUAUAUAAAUUAGAGAACUCAAACACUUCUUUUGGAGUGUAGCACAGCUCCUCAUGGGUCACACUCUCAACCUCACCUCCGGGGGCCUGCUGGGACUCUAGUUACAGGUCUAGAAGAAAACAGAGGUGUUGGUAGUGGCUUCUGAGGAGAAUUAACAUUAUCUUGCCUGGCAACUGCCUCAGGGGAGACCAUCACUGUUGUCUCAGGCAGCACACGGUUUAUCUCCUCAGACAAUGAUGGAAAGGCUGAUGGCAGCAUGGACAUGAGAAGGAUGUUGCCACUACUGGACACAAUUUUAGCUCUUUCUCUACAGGAGAUAAGACUCUCACACAGGGCAAUCUUAGCAGAUUUGAGGCUCAGGCCAUGACAUCAAUCUUCAUUCCUACCCCCUUAAAAAACUGAUACUUAUGUCUCGGAAUUAUCUGUGGAUUUGUCUGAACCCAGUUUUUCU